UACGUAGGGUGCAAGCGUUAAUCGGAAUUACUGGGCGUAAAGCGUGCGCAGGCGGUUUUGUAAGUCUGUCGUGAAAUCCCCGGGCUCAACCUGGGAAUGGCGAUGGAGACUGCAAGGCUAGAGUUUGGCAGAGGGGGGUAGAAUUCCACGUGUAGCAGUGAAAUGCGUGGAUAUGUGGAGGAACACCAAUGGCGAAGGCAGCCUUCUGGGCCAACACUGACGCUCAUGCACGAAAGCGUGGGGAGCAAACAGG
This 253-nucleotide ribosomal RNA is filed under the name uncultured bacterium. RNAcentral describes it as "partial 16S ribosomal RNA". It matches the Rfam family "Bacterial small subunit ribosomal RNA", at positions 524 to 776 of the family's 1533-position model. The record is from RNAcentral.